AUAAUUCAAUUAUUUAUUUAUUAAUAAAAGAUAAAUUCCCAAAAAUACACCAAUUCUUAUAUAUUUAGAGUACGUAACAUUUUCGUUAUGCGAAUAAUAGAGUUGAUUAAUACCAUAUUUUUGACACGUUACCGGUUGCCAACUCGUGAUUGUUUUCAAAAAAAACAAAAAAAAAAAAGAACAAAUCUUAAAAUCCAUCCAUAAAUACCCUUUAACAUAUUUUUGUCCAAACUAAUAUAGUUUUUUU
This 247-nucleotide long non-coding RNA is filed under the name Capsella rubella. Its description in RNAcentral is "long non-coding RNA (CRUB_LNC003148)". The record is from RNAcentral. Lineage: Eukaryota; Viridiplantae; Streptophyta; Magnoliopsida; Brassicales; Brassicaceae.